Long non-coding RNA from Andrographis paniculata, 5945 nucleotides. RefSeq lists it as uncharacterized. The record is from RefSeq and is a predicted model, not a curated record. Lineage: Eukaryota; Viridiplantae; Streptophyta; Magnoliopsida; Lamiales; Acanthaceae. The transcript is spliced from 3 exons.
CCCAAUUGCUUUUAUCCUCCGGCUUCUUCUUUCCUCCUUAUUCUUUUCUCCUACCUUGUUAUGCUCUGGGCCUGUGCAGCCCGGCGACAGCCAGAUUAAAAAAAUAAAAGAUCAAAAUCAAAAGGUCGAACCGCCGUUGGUGGUUCAAAAACCGGCGAACCGGCAGUUCGAAACCGAAUGGGCAAGUCUAAAUUUAUACCUCCAAGUAAAAUCAAUUUCAAUGCCCUCUCGCCAAACCAAUUCCUCCCACCUCCUGCCACUUGACGCGCGAUGCCUAAAAUAUUUUAACCCUAAUUCACACUUCGCAUUCACAGUCGCGUUAACAGCCGCUCCUUUGUCGAUUCAAGUCCGGCAGCGCGCAGUCUGCAGACGAUUCAAGCAACUUCGUCCAUCGAUUGAGCUCUUCCUCGUUCACAUGGAGUGACCAGAUGUUUGCAUGAGAUGUUAAAACUGUCUUUUGGGUUAAAUGGGUUUUCAGUUUUAUCAAAUUAGGGUCAGAACCCAAAACUCAACGAUUGUGGCUACUAAGUUGAAAUGCCUAGUCUUUGGUUAUCUUUACCAUCAGGCUUAGUCUUUUCCUCAAAUUCUUUAUAUGAAUGGAAAAUCUAUUUUCCGAAGCUUGUCAAUAAUUGUUGUAUUAUAUGUACUAUGAGACUUAGUAUAGAGAUGUUGUAAUGUUAUUGAUUUAUGAUAGGGGAAUUCCUGAUUAGUUUUUAGUUUAGGUAGGAGGUGGAAACACUAGUAAUCUUCGUGAAGAAAAUCAAAAUACUGAAAGUGGAAUGGUUGAUAAUAGAACAUGGAUUAUUUUCUAUAAUUUUGAGUGAGUUUUUAAGUUUAGUACAUCCACUGUUAUCUCUUCAAUAUAAUUAAUUAUAUUUUUAAAAUCUGAUUUCUAACCGAAUGCAAAUAUAUUUUAAUUUAUAGUUCCGUUUUUUAUUGGAAAUAUUUUUCAAUCUAAUUUUCCUAGAGCAUGGAUAUUUAUGAAGCGAGUUCCCUAUAGCCAAAAGAACACAUGGUUUCACUACCAAAAAAUUGACUUUUUGUAGCGGUCUGAAAUUCGUAAUCAAAGCCCAAUUUUUGUGCAAAAAAGCCUUUUGUAUCGACUUUGUUACGGAUUUGAACUGCUACGAAAAGUCGCGGUACAAAAGGUCAUUGCUGCAACAAAAUCCGUAAUAAAUAAGUGGUAGUCAACACAGUAAAUAAGCAUGUGUUAGUUGUAUUCGUUACAUUUUUCAUAUGUAACAAAAGGAUCGAUCAUGUUUUUGUGACACAUAUGUCCGUAUCAAAAAUUUCGGAACAAAAAUGAAAUCUUGUCAGAAAACUUUUUGUUACUAAAUAUAUCUGAAACAAAAAAGGCGGUACAAAAGUAGACUUUUUGUUAGAAAAUUAUUUGUUACAAAAUUUGUCAGUAACAAAAAAUUAAGUACAAGGCAUGUGAUCGUGAAACACCAUUUGUGUCAAGCAAUGCCCAUAACAAAAUGUUGCUACAAAAGGUUUUUCUGCGUCAAAUAAGGAUUUUGUUAUAAAAUUAAUUUCAUCACAAAUAGCAUAAUACCUGUCUUUUUAUGUUAAAUAUAAAAAUUAUAAAAACAAUAUACAAAAUGACACUGAUCUAACAACGUUUCCGACACGCCAAAAACAUAAAUGUAAUAUUUUGCCCCUAACAACCUUAUCAAAUGAGUACCCACACAUCCAAAAUCCAGAAUAUUGAACAUUCAAAAGAUAAAGAAAUACACAUAAGUAUUAACGUAGUAUAAUGAACACACAUGGUCGUUGUUUUGCAAUUUCCCAGAAGUCACUCAAGGAUGACAAAACUGUUGCAGUUGAAAAAUAAACUUGUUGCUCCAAUCUCCGGGAAAGCACUCAAGAACAGCAAAGAAGCUGCGAUGAAAUGUGAACUUACAUAAGAUUUUAAUUUCCACAUAACAAAUACAAAGCAUAUAUCGCUCAAGAGAAGAUCUUCUAUUUGCUUUAACGCAUUGAAGAAACCAAAAUACACAGAUAAUAUAAAGAACUACAAACUAUUAUACAGAAAUUUCUAUAAAAUUCUUAUCUGAACUAUCUUUUAAAUAUAAAACCAAAAUAUAACAUUUGUAAUCCAUCACCUAAAUUAACCAAAACAACAUUUAAGUUCAUUCAAUACAUAACAUUGAUAAUUCAUCACCUAAAUUAACCAGAUAAUUCUCAGAUUUGGCAUGUCCUUAAGUCCAUCAUACUGAUUCAAUCCAAAUCAAUCUGAAAUAACUCUAUAAUAUAUUUAGUAUUUAAAACUUCGAUAUGAUGCAACACAAGAAAAUAACAAAAAGAAUGAAAGAUCUAUAUGAUAUAUGGCAUGCCCUAUGGUUGAAGCACCAUACAGGUAUAGUUUAACUUUAACACGAUUUAUAGAAAUCUUGAACAAAAAAUUGUAUACAAAUUAAACCUGUAGAGGUUCAUGUAGUGUACCAUGAUGUUUAGAUCCAAAUAUGUCCAUCUUGAUAGAGGAGCAUGUAAUAUGCCAAAAUGGUAAUUAUGAGUGGUGUAACCAUCUUACUAGAGCAUUCAAGAGGAUGAAUAGGGAACAAACCAAAACAUCAUUCAUUACGUGGCAUGGUUGAUGCAAUUAGUUUUCUUUAUUUGUAAACAUCUUAGAGUUCUCAUCCAAGUUUGGAGAAAUGUAAGAAGUUAACAUUCAAAUCCGUAUCAACCUGGAAGUUAGACUCUUAUGUUAUCGUAGAAGUUACACAAUACUAUGUUCACAAUCAUAACAUUGAUUAAACAACAAGUCCAAUGGUGUAUAAUAUAUUAUUUCUAUAAAUCUCUAUAUGUAAAGCCUAAGGCUACCUAAGAAAGUGAUCAAACUGUGGAAGAUGCUUUCGUUUUCUAAAACAAUGUCUACAAAUAUACAUAAUUAAUGACAUACCUUGCGCGAAGAGGGUAAAUGCUUUGAGAUUGGAAGGGUGAUGGGUACCAACACGAGCAAAAUGAUUAUCUUAUGUAGUAUACGGAAGAUUGGAGUGACCGGAGAGUUGCGGCUGCGAUUAGCUGCCCGGCAUUCAUAAACUCAUAUGCUCUGAAAAUUAUUGAUACAUUAUAGAUGGAGAACCUCGAGAGAAAUGGUCGUUUUGAGUGAGGUGUUUUUGCGCUAUUGUGAUGAUAAAAUAGAUGAGAGUCUUACAAUCAUAGUUAGUUCCAUUCUAUUCUCUGGCGAGCUAAAUCCUACAUGAAUAUUUUAUUCAGUGACAUGGAUUUUUCCACACACAAAGCAGGGAAUCAUAGUGUGCGGAGCUGAACUGUUAGAUAAAUAGAACUAAUUAACCAAGCUACCAACUAGUGCAAACUAAGUAAUUAGCUAGCACAUAGAUUAGUAAGUCUGAAUAAUGUGCAUAGUUCCAUACAACAAGUUGAUCUAUAAUAACACAAUUACAAGCAGACCGAAGCUAAUGGGAUUCAAUAUAUCAUUCAAUUAAUCCAAACAAGAAAAUCUAAUAUAAUAAUAUAACUAAACUGAACAACAAGCUGCAAGGCUAGAUAUAUAUCACUGAACUUAUUGGAGUCGAGGGUGGCACUUGAAAUAAGCAAUUUAAGGUCCGGGCAGAACCUUACAAUAUCCUAUCACGCAAAAAGGGUAGAGUAGAACAAGAAACAGGUUACACAUAAUGUUUGCCAAAUAUAGAUAGAUAUAUAUAUAUAUAUAGAGAGAGAGAGAGAGAUUCUAAUGAAUUCGAUGUCUUUCACCCCUUACUGCCAUCAUUAUUCUACCUUACACCUAACAAAUAUGAUUAUCUUGAAGUUGUCAUACCUCAGAGAAGAUUCAACUAAGAGAUUCAAGAUCUUACCUUCACCAAGCCAAAUAAAAUGUCUGUUGACAGUGUUCUUUCAUGGGCCUCAUCAAUGAUCACCACAAUGAAAUAGAUGUAUAGUAAAUACAUUACAGUUAGCCCACAAAAUUAUCACAUGAUAUUUUAAAUGUGAAAUCCACCUGUAACUUGCAAGGUCAGGCUCCCCAAGGAACUCUCGCAGCAACAUUCCAUCCGUCAUAUAUUUCAAGAUUGUCUUUUCUGAAGUACAGUCUUCAAAUCGAAUAGAAUAGCCAACCUAAAAAGAACAAACUACAAUGGUCAGUAGAGACUUCCAAGAAAUAGAAACACUAUAGGAAAUUAGGAACUUUAAAAUAUCAUGGGGCAGGUCUAACUUAUUCUAUGACAUAUCGCAAAAUGCAGUGUGAAUAUUAAUUUAUUACACUAACAGAAUGAUGUUACUGUUGCAAUUAAUGGGCAUCUCUAGAUAAAACAAUGUUCAUUUUCCCAAUGCCAAAUGGAGUAGCAUGAGCUGCCAAACACUUGCAUGAAAAAAGCAGAAAAUAUACCUCAUGCCCCAGUUUUACACCCAUUUCUUGAGCAACUCGAGCCGCAACACUCAUUGCUGCAACACGACGAGGCUGGGUGCAUCCAAUCUGUCAGCAAGGUCAUCAUUUAGUAAAUUCAUAUUCCAAGUAAAACUCAUACCUGCUACUGGAAGUGUGUUAAAAAUUAAAGCUGGGGUUUCCCAAGUCAAUUAAUAUACGAAGCACCCCAGUUCCUAGAGUCCGAUAAACACAUUGAGAAAAUAACUUCAACGAAAAUCACCCAACAAAAAUUAAACUAGUAUAAUGACACUGCCAUUAUCUUACGCGCAAAAUUACUUAUAAUCCACUUUCAUUUGAAAAUUUUACACCAUACUGCUUCAUAAUUACUGCAUGUGUGUUUAGAAAAUAUUAGGCAGAAUCUCCUAGAAAGUACAUAAGGCUCCCUUGUGUCGUAGAAAUUGCGUAAGGCUCUCUCGUGGAAUUUCUAAAUCAUGAUAUAGUGCAGAUUUUCCAAACUAUAAGUGUAUUAUAAGAAAUUUUGCCUAAUCUUACUAAAUAUGAAAAGCUUUCUCAAUCUGAUAGAUAUGAAAAGUAAAAACAUAGAAUCUCUGCCGUUCCAUAAGUUUUAUACGAUACAACAAUGAAAUUCAUAGGAAUAUAGUCCAGCUAGGUAAUUCAAGCAAAUUGGACAGUACCAGUUAUCGUAUAAAGCUUGAUGGAUAACCUCAAUGCAUACAAUAAGAAACUAAGAUUGGAAACACACAGUACCUUUCCUCUCUUGGUGUACCCUGCCUCAUGAAGAUACUGGGGUAUCUGUGUAGUUUUUCCAGAGCACCUGCAAAACAAUAUAGCAUUGAAUUAAUAAGUGCAUCAACUGACAGUGUACAGACAGCAAACACGUGACACAAGGCAGUUUAUAUAUACCUGAUGAUUAUCAAUAGCUUCUAGCAACUCAUCUCUAUAACGAUAUACUGGCAGAGUCUUCCUGUCAUUCUGAAAAUGAACGAGCCAAGAGAAAAGUUAAUGCAUGAGGAAGAGAAAGUGAUACUACUAGUACGUGUUUAAUAGGAUUUCAUCCAUGAUGCUACCAGAAAUUCUUAUUGAGCAGAAGCUUCUGGUGAUACAGCAAAUGAUUUCUGCUCAACCUGUGAAGAAGUGAAUCAUUAAUGCAGACUAUUCAGACCAUCCAGUUUUAGAUUUCUCAUAGUAAAUUGCAGAGUUAAUGUACAUACAUUUUCACCUUCCAUAACUGUUGCCUUUAUGAACUCUAUUUGGUCUUCAAAAACGAACCUGCAAGUCAAAUAAAUAAAUAAAAAUACAAUCUGUUAGCGUCAAUGAAGCUUAUCAGUUCCAUUUUAAUCUCACAUGAAACCACCUUAAUAAUAUGUAUACACAAAGUGUAAGAUGCCAGUUGCUCUGACAAUUCUGUUUUAUUUUUUAUUAUUUUUUUUAAGGAUAAGAUGGUGUGAUAAGAAAAAGUGGAACCCAUAUGAAAACUUUAGAACUCACUCAUAAUCAUCUUGUUUCUGCUUUUUAUUCUUAGACCCAAACUUAAGAGUCGCUUUGCCUGAAAUUAAAUAACCAUAAGGUUAGUACUUAAAGAUAUAGCUAUGUCAUA